CGUUCCGUAAUUUAUAUAGUUCGUUUGAUUAUAUUCUUAAUCUAUUUAUGUGUUCCAGUCUAGGAGGAUUAUUCAUCUUUAACGUUAAAACAUCGUACAGUCGCUACCUUUCCCUCUCUCACAGGUAUCCGUUACAUGAAAACUGCAAGGUCAUAACGAUCACGAGGAACAUUUCGUCGAGACGUCAUCUUAGACACAAUUCGUGGCUAACCACAGAGUGAGUAAAUUCUACAACAUUGUAUUUGAACACUUCAAAUUGCUCUCUACAUAUUUGAACCUUUUCU
This 284-nucleotide long non-coding RNA is filed under the name Mytilus galloprovincialis (Mediterranean mussel). The record is from RNAcentral. Lineage: Eukaryota; Metazoa; Mollusca; Bivalvia; Mytilida; Mytilidae.